GAUGAACGCUGGCGGCGCGCCUAACACAUGCAAGUCGAACGGACGAUGAAAAGCUUGCUUUUCAAAGUUAGUGGCGGACGGGUGAGUAACGCGUUGGUAACCUGCCUCAUACAGGGGAAUAGCAGCUGGAAACGGCUGAUAAAACCGCAUAAGCGCACAGUGCCGCAUGGUACAGUGUGAAAAACUCCGGUGGUAUGAGAUGGACCCGCGUCUGAUUAGCUAGUUGGCGGGGUAACGGCCCACCAAGGCGACGAUCAGUAGCCGGCCUGAGAGGGUGAUCGGCCACAUUGGGACUGAGACACGGCCCAAACUCCUACGGGAGGCAGCAGUGGGGAAUAUUGCACAAUGGGGGAAACCCUGAUGCAGCGACGCCGCGUGAAGGAAGAAGUAUCUCGGUGUGUAAACUUCUAUCAGCAGGGAAGAUAAUGACGGUACCUGACUAAGAAGCCCCGGCUAACUACGUGCCAGCAGCCGCGGUAAUACGUAGGGGGCAAGCGUUAUCCGGAUUUACUGGGUGUAAAGGGAGCGUAGGCGGCGGAGCAAGUCAGAAGUGAAAGCCCGGGGCUCAACCCCGGGACGGCUUUUGAAACUGCCCUGCUUGAUUUCAGGAGAGGUAAGCGGAAUUCCUAGUGUAGCGGUGAAAUGCGUAGAUAUUAGGAGGAACACCAGUGGCGAAGGCGGCUUACUGGAC
RNAcentral lists this ribosomal RNA (691 nucleotides) under uncultured Lachnospiraceae bacterium. RNAcentral describes it as "bacterial SSU rRNA". It matches the Rfam family "Bacterial small subunit ribosomal RNA", at positions 28 to 734 of the family's 1533-position model. Lineage: Bacteria; Bacillati; Bacillota; Clostridia; Lachnospirales; Lachnospiraceae. The record is from RNAcentral.